GAUGAACGCUGGCGGCGUGCCUAAUACAUGCAAGUCGAGCGAACAGACGAGGAGCUUGCUCCUCUGACGUUAGCGGCGGACGGGUGAGUAACACGUGGAUAACCUACCUAUAAGACUGGGAUAACUUCGGGAAACCGGAGCUAAUACCGGAUAAUAUAUUGAACCGCAUGGUUCAAUAGUGAAAGACGGUUUUGCUGUCACUUAUAGAUGGAUCCGCGCCGCAUUAGCUAGUUGGUAAGGUAACGGCUUACCAAGGCAACGAUGCGUAGCCGACCUGAGAGGGUGAUCGGCCACACUGGAACUGAGACACGGUCCAGACUCCUACGGGAGGCAGCAGUAGGGAAUCUUCCGCAAUGGGCGAAAGCCUGACGGAGCAACGCCGCGUGAGUGAUGAAGGUCUUCGGAUCGUGAAACUCUGUCAGUGGGGAAGAACAAAUGUGUAAGUAACUAUGCACGUCUUGACGGUACCUAAUCAGAAAGCCACGGCUAACUACGUG
Molecule: ribosomal RNA, 497 nt
Filed under: uncultured bacterium
Lineage: Bacteria
Description: partial 16S ribosomal RNA
Rfam family: Bacterial small subunit ribosomal RNA
Source: RNAcentral